UGCUGCCUGUGAUGACAAGACCAACAGUGAAUGUUCGUAGGAUUUCCCACGAGCUUAAAUUCCCACAGCAGAACUCUGCCCACACUCAUGGACCAUGAAACACAGUUCAUGGUGCUUCCCACGGUUCUUCUCUGCUCCUGAACACAAUCUGGGAUUCAGCAUGGGUAUUUCAUGGUUCCAGGACUCCUUUCUGCUUGGUUCCUUCAGCCCAAGCUUACUUUAGUCUGGCCACAAAACCUGUGCUAGGUAGAGCCAGGGCAGAGGCUUGCCACUAGCAUGCUGCUGUCCAUAGCAGUAACUGUUAGCAUAGUCCCUGGCAGUUUUGGCUGGACUAAAUAGUGUUCUCCAAAACAGUGGUGAAGCACAGGCCAAAAGGGCCUGGUCAGGGCUAUAGGUACAGCUUUCACGUGGCCAGUCUGCUGCAAGAGAUAAAGAAGUUAACUGUAUGAACAAGAAAUAUGGCCUCCAUUAUCAGGUGGCUUGCUGCUCAGUAACUUUCCACUUGCCAUUCAGAUCUGAAAAAACUGCUUCCCUCUGUUCCAGUCACUUCACAGUUCUCCCAGGGCAGACCACACUUAGCUGCUGGCUGAUAUUACAGAUUAGAGAGUCAUAACUGGAAGCCACUCCUGUUUACCAGGAGCAACAAGCUGCAAGAAGUGGCCACACAGCCUGAGCCUAGUCCUGGCAACUUUUUCUUUCUGUUCACCAAGUAAAACUUCCAGUCUCCUUUUCCUGGCAGAAGGGAAGAGGCCUACAUGUAAGGCACGCCUUUGCCAAUGAAGGGUCUGGAGCACAGGUCUUAUGAGGAAUGGCUGAGGGAGCUGGGAUUGUUUAGUCCGGAGAAGAGGAGGCUCAGGGGAGACCUUAUCGCUCUCAACAACCACCUGAAAGGAGGUGGUGGCAGGCUGGGGGUCAGCCUCUUCUACCAGGAAAUAAGAGUUUUAGAUUUCCUCUUCCUGCCCUGCAAUCCCUGGAGCUCACUCAUACUGGACAGACAAGCAAGCAGCAGCAGCAGCAAUCCAGAGCAGGGCCACAGCAGAGCCAUGCUCCAGCCCUGGGCAGCCUCCACUAGUUCCAGUACCUGACAUGACCACAGAAUUGUGUAAGCCACUCCAGAAUUCAUAAAGAAUGACCCACCACAAAGCAAAUACAUUCAUGCAUGUCAAGACAAAUAUUGUGUAAUUCUAAAUGCAUUUUUCACUAAAAAGUAAUGCAUUUUAAAGCAAAAUAUAAGCACAGUUUUGAAUUUUUGAAUUGG
This 1258-nucleotide long non-coding RNA is filed under the name Numida meleagris (helmeted guineafowl). RNAcentral's name for it is "lncRNA (ENSNMEG00000018629.1)". Lineage: Eukaryota; Metazoa; Chordata; Aves; Galliformes; Numididae. The record is from RNAcentral.